GCGCACCAGUCGAGAAUUUUUGACAAUGGGGGAAACCCUGAUCGAGCGACGCCGCGUGGAGGAUGAAGGUCUUCGGAUUGUAAACUCCUGUCAUUGGGGAACAAGGUGCAUACGUUAACUGCGUGUGUAUUGAUAGUACCCGAAGAGGAAGGGACGGCUAACUCUGUGCCAGCAGCCGCGGUAAUACAGAGGUCCCAAGCGUUGUUCGGAUUCAUUGGGCGUAAAGGGUGCGUAGGCGGCGCGGUAAGUCGGGUGUGAAAUCUCGGAGCUUAACUCCGAAACUGCAUUCGAUACUGCCGUGCUUGAGGACUGGAGAGGAGACUGGAAUUUACGGUGUAGCGGUGAAAUGCGUAGAUAUCGUAAGGAAGACCAGUGGCGAAGGCGGGUCUCUGGACAGUUCCUGACGCUGAGGCACGAAGGCCAGGGGAGCAAACGGGAUUAGAUACCCCGGUAGU
RNAcentral lists this ribosomal RNA (455 nucleotides) under uncultured organism. RNAcentral describes it as "bacterial SSU rRNA". It matches the Rfam family "Bacterial small subunit ribosomal RNA", at positions 346 to 794 of the family's 1533-position model. The record is from RNAcentral.